UUGACCUCGAAUCAGGUAGGAAUACCCGCUGAACUUAAGCAUAUCAAUAAGCGGAGGAAAAGAAACCAACAGGGAUUGCCUCAGUAACGGCGAGUGAAGCGGCAACAGCUCAAAUUUGAAAUCUGGCUCUCGGGCCCGAGUUGUAAUUUGUAGAGGAUGCUUUUGGUGAGGUGCCUUCCGAGUUCCCUGGAACGGGACGCCAUAGAGGGUGAGAGCCCCGUCUGGUUGGACGCCGAACCUCUGUAAAGCUCCUUCGACGAGUCGAGUAGUUUGGGAAUGCUGCUCUAAAUGGGAGGUAUAUGUCUUCUAAAGCUAAAUACCGGCCAGAGACCGAUAGCGCACAAGUAGAGUGAUCGAAAGAUGAAAAGAACUUUGAAAAGAGAGUUAAACAGUACGUGAAAUUGUUGAAAGGGAAGCGCUUGUGACCAGACUUGGGCUUGGUUGAUCAUCCGGGGUUCUCCCCGGUGCACUCUUCCGGCCCAGGCCAGCAUCAGUUCGCCCUGGGGGACAAAGGCUUCGGGAACGUGGCUCUCUCCGGGGAGUGUUAUAGCCCGUUGCGUAAUACCCUGUGGCGGACU
This 578-nucleotide ribosomal RNA is filed under the name fungal sp. RNAcentral's name for it is "eukaryotic LSU rRNA". It matches the Rfam family "Eukaryotic large subunit ribosomal RNA", at positions 1 to 589 of the family's 3401-position model. The record is from RNAcentral. Lineage: Eukaryota; Fungi.